GAUGAAGAACGCAGCGAAAUGCGAUACUUGGUGUGAAUUGCAGAAUCCCGUGAACCAUCGAGUCUUUGAACGCAAGUUGCGCCUGAAGCCAUUAGGCCGAGGGCACGCCUGCCUGGGUGUCACACACCGUUACCCUCGCGCCAACGUCCAUCGUUGGCCGCGGCGCGGGGCGUGUGCUGACCUCCCGCGAGCGGGGUCUCGUGGUUGGUUGAAAAUCGAGUUCGCGGUCGAGGGUGCCGUGAUGAAAUGGUGGAUGGGCGACGCCCGAGGCCAAUCACGCGCGACUCUCUCCGGCUCGGACUCCUGGACCCCUUCGGCGUCUCCGGACGCUCUUUGGCGAGACCUCAGGUCAGGCGGGGCUACCCGCUGAGUUUAAGCAUAUCAAUAAGCGGAGGA
RNAcentral lists this unclassified non-coding RNA (396 nucleotides) under soil metagenome. RNAcentral describes it as "partial contains 5.8S ribosomal RNA, internal transcribed spacer 2, and large subunit ribosomal RNA". The stretch from base 1 to 122 matches the Rfam family "5.8S ribosomal RNA", at positions 35 to 154 of the family's 154-position model. The record is from RNAcentral.